This 374-nucleotide ribosomal RNA is filed under the name uncultured eukaryote. RNAcentral's name for it is "partial 18S ribosomal RNA". It matches the Rfam family "Eukaryotic small subunit ribosomal RNA", at positions 592 to 976 of the family's 1831-position model. The record is from RNAcentral.
UAAUAGUGUAUAUUAAAGUUGUUGCAGUUAAAAAGCUCGUAGUUGAAUGUUGGUGUCGAACGAGCGGUCAGCUUCGGCUGUACUGCCCUCUCGACUCCUUCCUUCUGUGGACUACGUCGCACUUUACUGUGUGGCGCUAGGACGCAGAUCGUUUACUGUGAAAAAAUUAGAGUGUUCAAAGCAGGCCGUACGCUUGAAUACAUUAGCAUGGAAUAAUGGAAUAGGACGUCGGGCCUAUUUUGUUGGUUCUAGGACCGUCGUAAUGAUUAAUAGGGACAGUUGGGGCCGUUUAUAUUCCGUAGUCAGAGGUGAAAUUCUUGGAUUUACGGAAGAUAAACUACUGCGAAAGCAUUCGGCAAGGAUGUUUUCGUUAA